GACGAACGCUGGCGGCGUGCUUAACACAUGCAAGUCGAACGGAAAGGCCCCUUCGGGGGUACUCGAGUGGCGAACGGGUGAGUAACACGUGAGUAACCUGCCCUUGACUUCGGGAUAACUUCAGGAAACUGGGGCUAAUACCGGAUAGGAAUCCUUGCUGCAUGGUGGGGGUUGGAAAGCUUCGGCGGUUUUGGAUGGACUCGCGGCUUAUCAGCUUGUUGGUGGGGUAGUGGCUUACCAAGGCUUUGACGGGUAGCCGGCCUGAGAGGGCGACCGGCCACAUUGGGACUGAGAUACGGCCCAGACUCCUACGGGAGGCAGCAGUGGGGAAUAUUGCACAAUGGGCGGAAGCCUGAUGCAGCAACGCCGCGUGCGGGAUGACGGCCUUCGGGUUGUAAACCGCUUUCAGCAGGGGCGAAGCUUGUGGUGACGGUACCUGCAGAAGGAGCACCGGCUAACUACGUG
RNAcentral lists this ribosomal RNA (465 nucleotides) under uncultured bacterium. Its description in RNAcentral is "partial 16S ribosomal RNA". It matches the Rfam family "Bacterial small subunit ribosomal RNA", at positions 28 to 507 of the family's 1533-position model. The record is from RNAcentral.